Brugia pahangi is the source of this 70-nucleotide non-coding RNA. The record is from Rfam. NCBI's taxonomy places the organism in Eukaryota, Metazoa, Nematoda, Chromadorea, Rhabditida, Onchocercidae.
GUCAUGGCAGCUCAGUCGGGAAAGUAGACUGAAGAUCUAAAGGUCGCCGGUUCGAUCCCGGCUCGUGGCA